Long non-coding RNA from Meriones unguiculatus (Mongolian gerbil), 542 nucleotides. RefSeq lists it as uncharacterized. The transcript is spliced from 3 exons. The record is from RefSeq and is a predicted model, not a curated record. Lineage: Eukaryota; Metazoa; Chordata; Mammalia; Rodentia; Muridae.
CGGUGGGUGGGCGUGGCCUGAAGAGGGGUUUUGCUUUUCGACGAAUCAGGCGCCGGUCUCGCUGGCGGAGGCGUGGCUUAGCGGUGGGCGGGGCUUUCGCUCGCCUCUAAUUGGCCGGCGAGGGCGGUGGGCGUGACCCACCCCUGUGGGCGUGUCACCGCCGGGUUGUCAGCUCGCGCGAGGCCCGCUGGGAUCGGAAGUCUACCUGCCGGGCCCGGAAGUCGGCCUCCCGCGACCGGAAUUCGCCCUCCCGGGACCGGAAGUCGACCGCGCGCUUCCGAUGAGACGGGGACACAGAAGGGGACACGAGGACAGUGACCGCCCCGGAGCCACCCGACGAGGCACACGCGAGCUCGUGAGCUGUUCGAGCCCCCGCGGCCCGGCCGGGAGAUGCCGAAGGUGAGCGGAGCCGGAAGGCGCCCCCGACGGCUGGGAGCUGAUGGAGCCCAGGCUGGACGCUGGAGCAGAAGAUGCCAGGGUGAGCGCGGGGGACGGACAGACAGACGGACCCUGGAUGAGGGGGCGUCCCGGGGUCCCCAGUG